Saccostrea cuccullata (small rock oyster) is the source of this 1886-nucleotide long non-coding RNA. RefSeq lists it as uncharacterized. NCBI's taxonomy places the organism in Eukaryota, Metazoa, Mollusca, Bivalvia, Ostreida, Ostreidae. The transcript has 3 exons. The record is from RefSeq and is a predicted model, not a curated record.
UUCGUAGUUGGACUGGACGUUGAAGCACAUUGCUAUCGUCAUUUCUCCUCUUAAAUCAUUAAUGAUGGAUCAAGUGAAAGAACUGAAGAAUUUCAACAUCACAUCAAUAGCUUUUGAGCCUGGAAGUCCUAUGGAAACCAUCCAAGGCAAGCUUCUAAAUUAUUUACCACAUGUUUUAUAGCAUUAAAAAAGCCAAGGGUUGUUAAAUUUAUUUUAUGUAUAUUUUUUAAACAGAUAUAAAAAUGGGAAAAUACUCCAUCGUAUUUAUUUCCCCUGAAUCGGCCAACUCACCCUUUUGGAGAAGUUUGCUUCUGUGUGAUGAUUUGAGAUCCAAGAUUUGCCUUCUUGCAUGUGACGAGGCACACUGCAUUUCGGAAUGGGGUGAGGAUUUUAGACCUGCUUACAAGGAAGUGCUGAAUUUGAGAAGUAUAAUCGAUGCCCCCGUUUUGGCUGUAACUGGUACAUGCAAUGAGAAAGUUAAAAAUGAUGUUUUUAAGAGUCUUGCUUUCACCGAUGAUGUCAGAAUUAUUGCUGUUGCGCCUGACAGGCAAGUAGUGUGUAAAUUUUCAAAUAAAUUUUUCGUAUAUACUUUGUAGAAGGAUAAAACUAUAAAUGCAUAAAGUAUAAUUGUCGGACCCCCCCCCCCCCCCCUCCGGAUCAGCGAUUAUGUUUUCCUAAGAAGAAGAAAAAAAUGCAAUAAUCUCCUUCAUAAUACUGAUUUGCCCGCUGGGAAACAGUCUUCCAACUGUCCCUCCCAUUUAGCGAUUGGCAAUUCAUACCCCCCCCCUUCUUCCAAUAUUUCCUUUCGACCCGCCAAUAUAAAUGUAACAACAGUACAUUGUAUACUGAUUACAUCAUUUAAACAUUCUAGGCCCAACAUAUGCCUAUGCCUACAAAGAUCAAAGCAAAAGCAAAAACAUGAAUCGGAUCUCAAAUGGCUUCUUGAAUACCAUAUGCUAGAAAAACAUGAUGUUAAGAAAAUAAUUGUAUACUGCAGAUCAGUCAGUGCUACAGCUCUCCUUUAGCUUCAUUUCAAGGAUAAUCUACGAGAGCAUGGAUUACCAGAUGGUAUAGUUGAGACGUUUCAUUUCCAUAGAUGAGGAUGGCAAAAUUCGCAUUUUACAAACCUUCAAAAAACCCGACAGUCGUAUUAGAUGUCUUUUUGCCACCCUUGCAUUUGGCAUGGGCAUUCAAACAUGCCAUUCAAAUAAACGAUGUUAGAGUGAUUAUUCACUGGAGUGUGUCUAAAUCAUGUCUUUCAUACUGGAAAAAAUUAGGCAGGGCUGGUAGGAACAGGGACCAAGCUCUUGCGAUAUGUUAUGCUUACGGGAGAUCGCUGAAUAAGCAAACGACUGAUGAAAACAUGAUAAAGACAAUACAAGAAGCAUUCGAACAAAAAAAAUGCAUUAGACAAAGUCUUCUGUCGUGCAUGUCUAUAGGGAAUGAUUUAUUUGUUUUGAAGAAAGACAAGUGUGACGGUUGUACAGGUACCUGUAAAUGUUCACUGUGUAUGUGUUGCAAUAUUUGUAGAGACAGUUGCCCAUGCGAGGACAAAACGUGGGGAAAUUUUAUGGGUAUUGAUAAAUUAUAAAGACUGAUUCUAUGUAUAUAUAUAUUUGUUCAUUUUCAUAUUUUCAUCAUAGCAGGGUGGCCACGUAUAUAAAAAUGAAAAGGGGUCUAUUAACGACUCACCCCAUUCAAUGGACAUUUACCUGGGGUUUAAUUUUACUCACCCCCCCCCCUUUUUAAAAAAAAUGGUUUGAUUACAUUAUCUGCUGAUGUCCGGCACAGUAAUAUUACAAUCAGUGACAAUUACUAUUAUUAUUUAAAUCAUUGCUGUUAUGGCAUAUUAUGACAGUUACUUAAACAGGGACCUAUAUACUCGG